This 1433-nucleotide ribosomal RNA is filed under the name uncultured organism. RNAcentral's name for it is "SSU rRNA". It matches the Rfam family "Bacterial small subunit ribosomal RNA". The record is from RNAcentral.
UUGAUGAACGCUAGCUACAGGCUUAACACAUGCAAGUCGAGGGGCAGCAUGGUCUUAGCUUGCUAAGGCCGAUGGCGACCGGCGCACGGGUGAGUAACACGUAUCCAACCUGCCGUCUACUCUUGGACAGCCUUCUGAAAGGAAGAUUAAUACAAGAUGGCAUCAUGAGUCCGCAUGUUCACAUGAUUAAAGGUAUUCCGGUAGACGAUGGGGAUGCGUUCCAUUAGAUAGUAGGCGGGGUAACGGCCCACCUAGUCUUCGAUGGAUAGGGGUUCUGAGAGGAAGGUCCCCCACAUUGGAACUGAGACACGGUCCAAACUCCUACGGGAGGCAGCAGUGAGGAAUAUUGGUCAAUGGGCGAGAGCCUGAACCAGCCAAGUAGCGUGAAGGAUGACUGCCCUAUGGGUUGUAAACUUCUUUUAUAAAGGAAUAAAGUCGGGUAUGGAUACCCGUUUGCAUGUACUUUAUGAAUAAGGAUCGGCUAACUCCGUGCCAGCAGCCGCGGUAAUACGGAGGAUCCGAGCGUUAUCCGGAUUUAUUGGGUUUAAAGGGAGCGUAGAUGGAUGUUUAAGUCAAGUUGGGAAAUUUGCGGCUCACCCGUAAAUUGCAGAUGGUACUGGAUAUCUUGAGUGCAGUUGAGGCAGGCGGGAUUUGUGGUGUAGCGGUGAAAUGCUUAGAUAUCAGGAAGAACUCCGAUUGGGAAGGCAGCCUGCUAAGCUGCAACUGACAUUGAGGCUCGAAAGUGUGGGUAUCAAACAGGAUUAGAUACCCUGGUAGUCCACACGGUAAACGAUGAAUACUCGCUGUUUGCGAUAUACUGCAAGCGGCCAAGCGAAAGCGUUAAGUAUUCCACCUGGGGAGUACGCCGGCAACGGUGAAACUCAAAGGAAUUGACGGGGGCCCGCACAAGCGGAGGAACAUGUGGUUUAAUUCGAUGAUACGCGAGGAACCUUACCCGGGCUUAAAUUGCAGAUGAAUUACGGUGAAAGCCGUAAGCCGCAAGGCAUCUGUGAAGGUGCUGCAUGGUUGUCGUCAGCUCGUGCCGUGAGGUGUCGGCUUAAGUGCCAUAACGAGCGCAACCCUUGUUGUCAGUUACUAACAGGUUCCGCUGAGGACUCUGACAAGACUGCCAUCGUAAGAUGUGAGGAAGGUGGGGAUGACGUCAAAUCAGCACGGCCCUUACGUCCGGGGCUACACACGUGUUACAAUGGGGGGUACAGAGGGCCGCUACCACGCGAGUGGAUGCCAAUCCCCAAAACCUCUCUCAGUUCGGACUGGAGUCUGCAACCCGACUCCACGAAGCUGGAUUCGCUAGUAAUCGCGCAUCAGCCACGGCGCGGUGAAUACGUUCCCGGGCCUUGUACACACCGCCCGUCAAGCCAUGGGAGCCGGGGGUACCUGAAGUGCGUAACCGCGAGGAGCGCCCUAGGGUA